RNAcentral lists this ribosomal RNA (196 nucleotides) under uncultured bacterium. RNAcentral describes it as "partial 16S ribosomal RNA". It matches the Rfam family "Bacterial small subunit ribosomal RNA", at positions 326 to 539 of the family's 1533-position model. The record is from RNAcentral.
ACGCUCGACACCUACGAGGCAGCAGUGGGGAAUAUUGCACAAUGGGGGAAACCCUGAUGCAGCGACGCCGCGUGAGCGAAGAAGUAUUUCGGUAUGUAAAGCUCUAUCAGCAGGGAAGAAAAUGACGGUACCUGACUAAGAAGCCCCGGCUAACUACGUGCCAACAGCCGCGGUAAUCUGAGCGGGCUGGCAAGGC